GACGAAGGUGGCUAGCGUUAUUCGGAUUUACUGGGCAUAAAGCGCGCGUAGGCGGCUUGGCAAGUCGGAGGUGAAAGCCUGCAGCUCAACUGCGGUGUGCCUCCGAAACUGCCGAGCUUGAGUGCGGGAGGGGUGAUUGGAACUCCAGGUGUAGCGGUGAAAUGCGUAGAUAUCUGGAGGAACACCAGAGGCGAAGGCGAAUCACUGGACCGCAACUGACGCUGAGGCGCGAAAGCUAGGGGAGCAAACGGG
Molecule: ribosomal RNA, 252 nt
Filed under: uncultured bacterium
Lineage: Bacteria
Description: partial 16S ribosomal RNA
Rfam family: Bacterial small subunit ribosomal RNA
Source: RNAcentral